This is a long non-coding RNA of Manis javanica (Malayan pangolin), 1598 nucleotides long. RefSeq lists it as uncharacterized. The record is from RefSeq and is a predicted model, not a curated record. NCBI's taxonomy places the organism in Eukaryota, Metazoa, Chordata, Mammalia, Pholidota, Manidae.
CCGCCAGGGUGCCUAGUGCGGAGCGGCUCUGCCCCCGGCUGCCCGUCCCUCCUAUACUGAGGCUGAGUAUUCGCGGGGGGCCUGGAGACAGAUUCCCCCUAUAGGAUUUAGGUAGGGUGGUGGAGCUUCCUACACCCCCGCCGCCCCCUCUAUCCUGUCCACCGCCGCGUCCUCUCAGGUACUGGGCUGCAAACCUGUGAGCCUGCGAUUCCUCUCCGGCCUGCACCUCACGGCUCCGAACCCAGCAGUAUUUUAGGCACAGAGGUGGCAUGGCAAACAGAAGAAGCUCCAACUCAUCGAGAAACAUACAUGCAAAAGCUAGAACAUACUGACAAUCCAUACUGAGCGGCAACUGAGUGAAGUCCAGCUGCAGUUGUUCAAAGGGUCCAGAGGAGGAAGAAGCAGAAUGGACUUUAUCCACAUGUGCCACAAUUUUCUAUAGAUCCUGCUGCCGCUGCCUGAAAGUUUGCAGGAAAUCAGUAGGGGCAUUUCCCUAAUUCAGAUUCUGUCCAAGUUCUGGCCAAAUCAGUAUGGGCAGAAGUCACAUCUACCACCUCCAGGCCUGGCCCUUUAAACUUCUUGCAUGAUCUGGGGCUGAAGAUAACCAGCCGAGAACUCCAAGGCCCUAAGGACGAUGAAGCGCCAGAUGGGAGGUACCUGAGCCCUCCAUUGACUGGGAGGAACAGAACCCCAGUGCUGCCGCUCCCCACCCUCACCUUGACUGUGACUUGAGCAGAAAUCAAACUCUUAUUCUUAAGAAACAAUGUAACUGUAAGGUUGUCUGUUAUAGUAAUAGACCUGCCCCAGCUGACUCACUAAGUAAAAACGAAAGCUCUGUUUAAUGAAAAACUACAUUUGACCUUGAAGAAUAGGCAGCCUGGUGAAGGGAUUUUUCUAAAAAGGUGUAACAUAACAUAAAAAGAAGACAAGAAGCAGUCUUCCCGAACUGCCACUGCACCGAGCAGCUUUGACAUUUAACAGCACUUAACUAUCAAGUGGCAUUGACUGGUGGAGAAUACAGGAAGCAGCAGCAGUUUUUGAAGGGAGGAGGAAAUGGCCGUAAGGCCUGGCAGUCUUAACGGUACCAAGUGGGAGGGGUGGCAGCUGCUGGUGGACACGGCACUCCUGGUUCCAGGAAGAAACAGUGAAGGCUAGUGGAAGGGUCAGGACUAACAGAAGUGGUCAUAGUGUCCGGGGAAUGUUCAGUAUUAGACAACCAGAUUUGAUCAUGAGUCCAUGUAGGACGCUUAGUGAUUUUGAGCAAUACUUGGGAUAUCUCAAAGGUAACAGAACCAGCAAACAUGGAUUCCUUCUACAAGGUAUUGGAAACUUGGAAGACUGGGGAAGAGUACUCCCACUGCAGACCAAUGCAGGAAGAAAAGGAGGCUCAUGGGGCUUCAGCUGUGCUUUUUGGAAACAGUAUUUCUUCUCUUCACAGCAGGCUGGGUAGUCAGGCAGUUUGGGCCAUCCACAGGCAUACCUCCCCAGGCCCCCUGUGUCACUUCUCGGGGUGGCAAGCUAAGUUGGGAAGUCAGGAAGCCCUGGGCAUUUGUAUUUUCCACAGUGGCCUCAGUGGGUAUCUGGGUGAAGGCUCUCAC